AUUGAACGCUGGCGGCAGGCCUAACACAUGCAAGUCGACCGAGUGGCGGACGGGUGAGUAAUUUCUGGGAAACUGCCUGAUGGAGGGGGAUAACUACUGGAAACGGUAGCUAAUACCGCAUACCAUCAGAUGUGCCCAGAUGGGAUUAGCUUGUUGGGGGGGUAACGGCUAUCCAAGGCGACGAUCCCUCGCUGGUCUGAGAGGAUGACCAGGCACACUGUAACUGAGACACGGUCCAGACUCCUACGGGAGGCAGCAGUGGGGAAUAUUGCGCAAUGGACGCAAGCCUGAUGCAGCCAUUCCGCGUGUAUUAAGAAGGCCUUCGGGUGUUAAAGUACUUUCAGCGGUGAGGCGUUACCCGCAGAAGAAGCACCGGCUAACUCUGUGCCAGCAGCCGCGGUAAUAC
RNAcentral lists this ribosomal RNA (406 nucleotides) under uncultured bacterium. RNAcentral describes it as "partial 16S ribosomal RNA". It matches the Rfam family "Bacterial small subunit ribosomal RNA", at positions 30 to 526 of the family's 1533-position model. The record is from RNAcentral.